CUGGCCUCUCCCCCAGACGGCGGACCGCCGCACUGCUCCGCGGUCGUGUUGCCUCAUGCCAACAGCCAACCCCAAACUUUGACGUCGAUUGACCGCCCUGGCACCCCUACGCGCAGCGCGGCCGGCGGCUCGACCCGCCUCCCUGCGCGCCAGGCUGCCGCGUGCCACCGGUCCGCUGCGGCGCCGCCCGUCGCCUCCCGCCGCCAUCGCCCACUGCAGCCCUCGGCCAGUUUCCAAUGGACUUCAGGUGCAACUCCAGUUGUGGAUGAUGGCAGUACGGGUUCAACUCAAACUCCAAUUUAUGUAGGAUCUUGUUGAUGUUGCAACUCUUAUAUACUAAUUUAUUCAAGUUCCAAACUAAUAUGUUGAAUUGAACGUAUUGUGAGAUCUUUUCAAUUACUUUAAUCUAAAUUCGCUUAUUAUGUACUGGAUUGUGGUUUGAAUUUUUUUUAACUAGGACUACCCUAGUUUCAAUUUCUGGGUCCGCCACUGAACGCGCUAGGUCGCGCAGCACGAGGAGGAGCUCGAUGCAGCGCCUCUUGUGUGAAGCGGUCAGACCGGUCACCGGUGAACACCAACGACAACUGACGAACACUCACCCGGGAGGGACCCGUCAUGGCAAGCGCGCGCAGGGUUGUUUUAAGAUCGGCAGGCCACCUAGAACGUCUUUAAAUGUCGCGGAGACGAAGGAAGAAUAGCAGAUAAAGAUUGAAAAAGCUAGAGUUUGGAGAAAAAGAUAAAGACGAUAAAAAGUAGAAGUUGUAUUGACUUUGAUCGA
Long non-coding RNA from Panicum virgatum (switchgrass), 778 nucleotides. RefSeq lists it as uncharacterized. Lineage: Eukaryota; Viridiplantae; Streptophyta; Magnoliopsida; Poales; Poaceae. The record is from RefSeq and is a predicted model, not a curated record. The transcript is spliced from 2 exons.